Long non-coding RNA from Octopus sinensis (East Asian common octopus), 617 nucleotides. RefSeq lists it as uncharacterized. Lineage: Eukaryota; Metazoa; Mollusca; Cephalopoda; Octopoda; Octopodidae. The transcript has 3 exons. The record is from RefSeq and is a predicted model, not a curated record.
ACGUCUUCGAUUUUUUAAGUGUUUGGUGGUUUCGAAAGACGAAACCUUUGUAAAUGUUUCAGUGAUCACUCGAGUUGCUAGAAAUAGCAGUCAAAUUUCCUGCGAAGUACAGCAUAUUAUAUUGCGUGUACUGCUGUCCUUCCAUACUUGCUACCGUUGUUUGUUACUCGAUUUCUCUCUCUCACACACACACAUACACACAAAAGUAUCACAUCGUAAUCGAUCGAGUGAUCAUUGCUAAACUCAAACUCCUUUUUGUGCCGAUUUCUCACUCUGAUGAAAUAUUCAACUCACAAUAUUCAAAAUGCAUCUUUGAUUUAUUAUUUGUAAUUUGAAUGAAUUGAAUAUGCAAUAGGUAAUUUGAAAUUGACAUUAUGUUAAUCAAUUGAUAUUUAACUAUCGAUCUCUCCAUUUUCUUCUUAUCCUAUACACACACACACACGAGAAGCGCAUCAUCAUCAUCAUUUAAUGUCCGCUUUCCAUGCUGGUAUGGAUUGGACGGCUUGACUGAGAACUCGCAAGCCAGAGGCUGUACCAGGCUCCAAUCUGAUCUGGCAGUGUUUCUACAGCUGGAUGCCCUUCCUAACGCCAACCACUCCAAGAGUGUAGUGGGUGCU